This 398-nucleotide ribosomal RNA is filed under the name uncultured bacterium. RNAcentral's name for it is "bacterial SSU rRNA". It matches the Rfam family "Bacterial small subunit ribosomal RNA", at positions 362 to 777 of the family's 1533-position model. The record is from RNAcentral.
UAUUGCACAAUGGGGGAAACCCUGAUGCAGCAACGCCGCGUGAGUGAUGACGGCCUUCGGGUUGUAAAGCUCUGUCUUCAGGGACGAUAAUGACGGUACCUGAGGAGGAAGCCACGGCUAACUACGUGCCAGCAGCCGCGGUAAUACGUAGGUGGCGAGCGUUGUCCGGAUUUACUGGGCGUAAAGGGAGCGUAGGCGGACUUUUAAGUGAGAUGUGAAAUACUCGGGCUCAACUUGAGUGCUGCAUUUCAAACUGGAUGUCUAGAGUGCAGGAGAGGAGAAUGGAAUACCUAGUGUAGCGGUGAAAUGCGUAGAGAUUAGGAAGAACACCAGUGGCGAAGGCGAUUCUCUGGACUGAAACUGACGCUGAGGCUCGAAAGCGUGGGGAGCAAACAGGA